UGCUCCCUUUGCAACUCAAGAGCAAUUUGAUACCUGAGCAGCUGGGCAACUCGGUCUGAAUGGAUGAAAUAUUCCUGAGGAUUUGCCAAAAAGGGCAGGACAGCCCACUUUGCUCAGGCCAUCUCGCACACUUCAACAUGACCUACAGCUCCACAGAGCCCAUACUUCAGCAUGCUCUGGGUAUAUUGUUCUGAAGAAUGAGAAGUUGUUUUGCAAAGACUUGGAAAGUUCUGUGCUGCUGCCUUCUCAGACUUUCCUUUGGCAUCACUUUGUGGAUAGAGAUUAGCUUUGGCUUGUAGCCAGUGGAUCUUCUGUGCCUUCACCUGCUCUGUUCAAAGGAUCUUUAUCGUCAGAAAUCAUCCAUUUUCACAGAUGUAGUUUCCAGCAUCUUGAUACUGAAGACUUGAAAAUGAUGGACUUGUUUGCAUUCUCAUAUUGUCCUGAUAAGGGAUUUCUCCCCCUACCUCCCCAAACAAGUAAAUGCAACCCAACUGACAAGGUACUGCAGAUCUUACCAUUGCUUCCACAAGAAAGAAAAAAAAAGACAAGACUCAGCCAUGAAAAUAAAAAAAAAUAUCUGAAGUGCCAAGAUGAGACAUGAGGAAAUGAAAAGCCUUGAUUCAGAAUGAAAGCUUUUUCAGCACAAUGGCAUAGACAAGAAUAUUCAUCCAUAUAUGAAAAGCGAAGUGUGCACUCUACAGCCCUUCCAACCCUUGAGGCAUUCAUCACGUCCGUCUUCUGCUACGAGGUUUCUCAAUAACAGGAGCUGCUUUCUCCUGUGGCCUCUGGAUGACUGAGAGCCCUGGCACAGCAUCUCACUCCUCCCCACAUGAAGAGUGGUACCGGGCCUUCAACG
This is a long non-coding RNA of Columba livia (rock pigeon), 856 nucleotides long. RefSeq lists it as uncharacterized. NCBI's taxonomy places the organism in Eukaryota, Metazoa, Chordata, Aves, Columbiformes, Columbidae. The record is from RefSeq and is a predicted model, not a curated record. The transcript is spliced from 7 exons.